GUCUAUGACCACGCCAUCCUGAACAUGCCCGAUCUCAUCUGAUCUCAGAAGCUAAGCAGGGUUGGGCCUGGUUUGUACUUGGAUUGCGAGACCACCUAGGAAGACUGGGUGCUACAGGCA
This 120-nucleotide ribosomal RNA is filed under the name Pteropus vampyrus (large flying fox). The record is from RNAcentral. Lineage: Eukaryota; Metazoa; Chordata; Mammalia; Chiroptera; Pteropodidae.